Molecule: ribosomal RNA, 253 nt
Filed under: uncultured bacterium
Lineage: Bacteria
Description: partial 16S ribosomal RNA
Rfam family: Bacterial small subunit ribosomal RNA
Source: RNAcentral
UACGAAGGGGGCGAGCGUUGUUCGGAAUUACUGGGCGUAAAGGGCGCGCAGGCGGCCGUUGAAGUCAGGCGUGAAAGCCCCGGGCUCAACCUGGGGAUUGCGCUUGAUACUCGAUGGCUGGAGUUCGGGAGAGGAGAGUGGAAUUCCCAGUGUAGAGGUGAAAUGCGUAGAUAUUGGGAGGAACACCGGUGGCGAAGGCGGCUCUCUGGACCGAAACUGACGCUGAGGCGCGAAAGCGUGGGGAGCAAACAGG